CGCGAGGCUCGUGAGGGUGCUCAGAGCCGCAUUCGCGCCAAUCAGGAAGCAGCCACCGGCCCCUUCCGGGGACUGACGACCGAGAGUGUUGAGGAGCAGGCGCGUAAAGAGCAGGCCGCAGAAGCCGCCGCCAUCCUGCGAGCGCAGGUCAACGAACAAGAAGGCUUGGCCGAGAUCGAGCGCCGCCGCGCGGCGGAACAGAAAACCGCCAACGCCGCCAACAAACAGUCCUUCAUGGAAGAAAUUGCGUUCAUGAAGGAAGAAGAACGCUUGCAGCGUCAGGUUGUCUCUGCCAAUGCCGCCGAGACCGCCGAGAAGAA
Molecule: unclassified non-coding RNA, 320 nt
Filed under: plant metagenome
Description: partial contains 5.8S ribosomal RNA, internal transcribed spacer 2, and large subunit ribosomal RNA
Source: RNAcentral